AUUAAACGCUGGCGGCAUGCCUUACACAUGCAAGUCGAACGGCAGCACGGGGGCAACCCUGGUGGCGAGUGGCGAACGGGUGAGUAAAGCAUCGGAACGUGCCCUGGAGUGGGGGGAUAACGUAGCGAAAGUUACGCUAAUACCGCAUAUUCUGUGAGCAGGAAAGCAGGGGAUCGCAAGACCUUGCGCUCUGGGAGCGGCCGAUGUCGGAUUAGCUAGUUGGUGGGGUAAAGGCCUACCAAGGCGACGAUCCGUAGCGGGUCUGAGAGGAUGAUCCGCCACACUGGGACUGAGACACGGCCCAGACUCCUACGGGAGGCAGCAGUGGGGAAUUUUGGACAAUGGGCGAAAGCCUGAUCCAGCCAUGCCGCGUGAGUGAAGAAGGCCUCGGUGUAAG
Molecule: ribosomal RNA, 397 nt
Filed under: uncultured bacterium
Lineage: Bacteria
Description: bacterial SSU rRNA
Rfam family: Bacterial small subunit ribosomal RNA
Source: RNAcentral